RNAcentral lists this ribosomal RNA (512 nucleotides) under uncultured Desulfobulbus sp. RNAcentral describes it as "bacterial SSU rRNA". It matches the Rfam family "Bacterial small subunit ribosomal RNA", at positions 903 to 1382 of the family's 1533-position model. The record is from RNAcentral. Lineage: Bacteria; Pseudomonadati; Thermodesulfobacteriota; Desulfobulbia; Desulfobulbales; Desulfobulbaceae.
CGCCUUGCCAGCCCGCUCAGAAACUCAAAGGAAGUUGACGGGGGCCCGCACAAGCGGUGGAGCACGUGGUUUAAUUCGAUGCAAACCGAAGAACCUUACCUGGUCUUGACAUCCCGGAGACCCUUAGGAAACUAGGGGGUGCUUCCAUCUGGAAGAAUCUGGAGACAGGUGCUGCAUGGCUGUCGUCAGCUCGUGUCGUGAGAUGUUGGGUUAAGUCCCGCAACGAGCGCAACCCUUGCCUUUAGUUGCCAGCAGUUCGGCUGGGCACUCUAAAGGGACUGCCGGUGUUAAACCGGAGGAAGGUGGGGAUGACGUCAAGUCCUCAUGGCCUUUAUGACCAGGGCUACACACGUACUACAAUGGCCGAUACAAAGGGCAGCGACACUGCGAGGUGAAGCCAAUCCCGUAAAAUCGGUCUCAGUCCGGAUUGGAGUCUGCAACUCGACUCCAUGAAGUUGGAAUCGCUAGUAAUCGUGGAUCAGCAUGCCACGGUGAAUACGUUCCCGGGCCUU